Molecule: ribosomal RNA, 459 nt
Filed under: uncultured Candidatus Thermofonsia sp.
Lineage: Bacteria; Bacillati; Chloroflexota; Candidatus Thermofontia
Description: bacterial SSU rRNA
Rfam family: Bacterial small subunit ribosomal RNA
Source: RNAcentral
CUGGCUCAGGAUAAACGCUGGCGGCGUGCCUAACCCAUGCAAGUCGGACGAUCCCGCAAGGGAGAGUGGCGGAAGGGUGAGUAACACGUAGAAAUCUACCUCGUCGGAGGGAAUAACCCCGCGAAAGCGGGGCUAAUACCCAAGAAGAUCUGCAAAGAUCAGAGUCCGCAAGGGCCCGGCGAGAGGAGUCUGCGGCCCAUCAGCUCGUUGGUGGGGUAAUAGCCUACCAAGGCUACGACGGGUAGGGGGUCUGAGAGGAUCGUCCCCCCACACUGGAACUGAAACACGGUCCAGACGCCUACGGGUGGCAGCAGGGAGGAAUAUUGGACAAGUGGGGGAAACCCCAUCCAGCAACGCCGCGUGAGGGAAGAAGGCCUUUCGGGGUUGUAAACCUCUUUUAAGGGGAGACGAGAAAGGACGGUAUCCCUUGAAUAAGUCACGGGCUAACUACGUGCCCAG